This 419-nucleotide ribosomal RNA is filed under the name uncultured bacterium. RNAcentral describes it as "bacterial SSU rRNA". It matches the Rfam family "Bacterial small subunit ribosomal RNA", at positions 80 to 486 of the family's 1533-position model. The record is from RNAcentral.
GCUCCUCUGACGUUAGCGGCGGACGGGUGAGUAACACGUGGAUAACCUACCUAUAAGACUGGGAUAACUUCGGGAAACCGGAGCUAAUACCGGAUAAUAUAUUGAACCGCAUGGUUCAAUAGUGAAAGACGGUUUUGCUGUCACUUAUAGAUGGAUCCGCGCCGCAUUAGCUAGUUGGUAAGGUAACGGCUUACCAAGGCAACGAUGCGUAGCCGACCUGAGAGGGUGAUCGGCCACACUGGAACUGAGACACGGUCCAGACUCCUACGGGAGGCAGCAGUAGGGAAUCUUCCGCAAUGGGCGAAAGCUUGACGGAGCAACGCCGCGUGAGUGAUGAAGGUCUUCGGAUCGUAAAACUCUGUUAUUAGGGAAGAACAAAUGUGUAAGUAACUAUGCACGUCUUGACGGUACCUAAUCAG